This 305-nucleotide ribosomal RNA is filed under the name uncultured bacterium. RNAcentral's name for it is "bacterial SSU rRNA". It matches the Rfam family "Bacterial small subunit ribosomal RNA", at positions 333 to 655 of the family's 1533-position model. The record is from RNAcentral.
GCUUACCUACGGGAGGCAGCGGUGAGGGAUAUUGGUCAAUGGGGGAAACCCUGAACCAGCAACGCCGCGUGAGGGAAGAAGGUUUUCGGAUUGUAAACUCCUUUUAUCAGGGACGAUAAUGACGGUACCUGAAGAAAAAGCUCCGGCUAACUACGUGCCAGCAGCCGCGGUAAUACGUAGGGAGCGAGCGUUGUCCGGAAUUACUGGGUGUAAAGGGAGCGUAGGCGGGACGGCAAGUCAGAUGUGAAAACUGAGGGCUCAACCUUCAGACUGCAUUUGAAACUGCUGUUCUUGAGUGAAGUAGA